RNAcentral lists this ribosomal RNA (253 nucleotides) under uncultured bacterium. Its description in RNAcentral is "partial 16S ribosomal RNA". It matches the Rfam family "Bacterial small subunit ribosomal RNA", at positions 524 to 776 of the family's 1533-position model. The record is from RNAcentral.
CACGGGGGGAGCAAGCGUUGUUCGGAAUUACUGGGCGUAAAGGGUGCGUAGGCGGUUCGUUAAGUUGGAUGUGAAAACUCUGGGCUCAACCCAGAGCCUGCAUCCAAAACUGGCGGGCUAGAGUUCUGGAGGGGGUAGCGGAAUUCCUGGUGUAGCGGUGAAAUGCGUAGAUAUCAGGAGGAACACCGGUGGCGAAGGCGGCUACCUGGACAGAAACUGACGCUGAGGCACGAAAGCUAGGGGAGCAAACAGG